CCUACGGGAGGCAGCAGUGGGGGAUAUUGCACAAUGGGGGGAACCCUGAUGCAGCGACGCCGCGUGGGUGAAGAAGCGCCUCGGCGCGUAAAGCCCUGUCAGCAGGGAAGAAAAUGACGGUACCUGAAUAAGAAGCCCCGGCUAACUACGUGCCAGCAGCCGCGGUAAUACGUAGGGGGCAAGCGUUAUCCGGAUUUACUGGGUGUAAAGGGAGCGCAGACGGCAAUGCAAGCCUGGAGUGAAAGGCGGGGGCCCAACCCCCGGACUGCUCUGGGAACUGUAUAGCUAGAGUGCAGGAGAGGUAAGUGGAAUUCCUAGUGUAGCGGUGAAAUGCGUAGAUAUUAGGAGGAACACCAGUGGCGAAGGCGGCUUGCUGGACUGUAACUGACGUUGAGGCUCGAAAGCGUGGGGAGCAAACAGGAUUAGAUACCCGAGUAGUC
This 440-nucleotide ribosomal RNA is filed under the name uncultured bacterium. RNAcentral describes it as "partial 16S ribosomal RNA". It matches the Rfam family "Bacterial small subunit ribosomal RNA", at positions 338 to 795 of the family's 1533-position model. The record is from RNAcentral.